This 430-nucleotide ribosomal RNA is filed under the name uncultured archaeon. Its description in RNAcentral is "bacterial SSU rRNA". It matches the Rfam family "Archaeal small subunit ribosomal RNA", at positions 474 to 903 of the family's 1478-position model. The record is from RNAcentral.
UACCAGCUCUCCGAGUGGUAGGGAUGUUUAUUGGGCUUAAAGCGUCCGUAGCCGGCUUAGCAAGUCUCCUGUUAAAUUCAGCGACCUAAUCGUUGAGCCGCGGGAGAUACUACUAGGCUAGGAGGCGGGAGAGGUCAACGGUACUUCCGGGGUAGGGGUAAAUCCUAUAAUCCCGAGAGGACCACCAGUGGCGAAGGCUGUUGACUAGAACGCGCUCGACGGUGAGGGACGAAAGCUGGGGGAGCGAACCGGAUUAGAUACCCGGGUAGUCCCAGCUGUAAACGAUGCGAGCUAGGUGUUGGGGUGGCUACGUGCCACUUCAGUGCCGCAGGGAAGCCAUUAAGCUCGCCGCCGUGGGGAGUACGGCCGCAAGGCUGAAACUUAAAGGAAGUUGGCGGGGGAGCACCACAAGGCGUGAAGCUUGCGGUUC